AAGGAUUUAAGUUAAAUAAACUAAUAGCCUUCAAAGCUAUCAUUAGAGAAAUCUCUAAGCCUUA
Molecule: transfer RNA, 64 nt
Filed under: Cucujoidea sp. 33 KM-2017
Lineage: Eukaryota; Metazoa; Arthropoda; Insecta; Coleoptera
Description: tRNA-Trp
Source: RNAcentral